GAAGAGACCUGGGAAAUUAAGUUUCUUGCGGAGUACGGUGGGGAUUGCAGCUGCUGAGCAGGGAUUCUGGAAAGCAUUGAGUACCUGAGCCCCCAGCAUGGCGGGCCUAAAGCGGCGGGCAAGCCAGGUGUGGCCAGAAGAGCAUGGUGCUGCAGCUGCUGCGCAUCAUCACUCGCCACGACCUGCUGCCCUACGUCACCCUCAAGAGGAGACGGGCUGUGUGCCCUGAUCUUGUAGACAAGUAUCUGGAGGAGACAUCAAUUCGCUAUGUGACCCCCAGAGCCCUCAGUGAUCCAGAACCAAGGCCUCCCCAGCCCUCUAAAACAGUGCCUCCCCACUAUCCUGUGGUGUGUUGCCCCACUUCGGGUCCUCAGAUGUGUAGCAAGCGGCCAGCCCGAGGGAGAGCCACACUUGGGAGCCAGCGAAAACGCCGGAAGUCAGUGACACCAGAUCCCAAGGAAAAGCAGACAUGUGACAUCAGACUGCGGGUUCGGGCUGAAUACUGCCAGCAUGAGACUGCUCUGCAGGGCAAUGUCUUCUCUAACAAGCAGGACCCACUUGAGCGCCAGUUUGAGCGCUUUAACCAGGCCAACACCAUCCUCAAGUCCCGGGACCUGGGCUCCAUCAUCUGUGACAUCAAGUUCUCUGAGCUCACCUACCUCGAUGCAUUCUGGCGCGACUACAUCAAUGGCUCUUUAUUAGAGGCACUUAAAGGUGUCUUCAUCACAGACUCCCUCAAGCAAGCUGUGGGCCAUGAAGCCAUCAAGCUGCUGGUAAAUGUAGACGAGGAGGACUAUGAGCUGGGCCGACAGAAACUCCUGAGGAACUUGAUGCUGCAAGCAUUGCCCUGACCUAUUCCCUCUUCUCACUUUGGGGACUGUUCCCAUCACCCACCUCUGGAGCUUACACUGUUCUGGGGUUUGUUCUCUACCCUUCCAACCAAUCACACCCCUGCCUUUUUUUUUUUUUUUUAAAGAAAAAGACAAAAGAAAGUGGAAGUGGUAUUCCCCACCCCUCCCUGCACCCAUGUGCCUGGGCUUCCCCUUUAUUUCCCUUUUCCAUUUACC
Molecule: small RNA, 1067 nt
Filed under: Pan troglodytes (chimpanzee)
Lineage: Eukaryota; Metazoa; Chordata; Mammalia; Primates; Hominidae
Description: processed transcript
Source: RNAcentral